AAAUAAAGGUGUUCUCAACUGGCCUCCCUGGUUAAAUAAAGGUGUUCUCAACUGGCCUACCCGGUUAAAUAAAGGUGUUCUCAAGUAGCCUACCCGGUUAAAUAAAGGUGUUCUCAACUGGCCUACCCGGUUAAAUAAAGGUGUUCUCAACUGGCCUACCCGGUUAAAUAAAGGUGUUCUCAACUGGCCUACCCGGUUAAAUAAAGGUGUUCUCAACUGGCCUACCCGGUUAAAUAAAGGUGUUCUCAACUGGCCUACCCGGUUAAAUAAAGGUGAA
Oncorhynchus keta (chum salmon) is the source of this 277-nucleotide long non-coding RNA. RefSeq lists it as uncharacterized. The transcript has 3 exons. Lineage: Eukaryota; Metazoa; Chordata; Actinopteri; Salmoniformes; Salmonidae. The record is from RefSeq and is a predicted model, not a curated record.